UAAAGUAAAGCUUAUUAUAAAGCAUUCCGCUUACACCGGAAAGAAUAUUGUGUAAUUCAAUAUACUUUAA
Molecule: transfer RNA, 70 nt
Filed under: Paralithodes platypus (blue king crab)
Lineage: Eukaryota; Metazoa; Arthropoda; Malacostraca; Decapoda; Lithodidae
Also listed under: 1 other name
Description: tRNA-Val
Source: RNAcentral